CGUUUAGACUCCUACGGGAGGCAGCAGUGGGGAAUAUUGCACAAUGGGGGAAACCCUGAUGGCAGCCAUGCCGCGUGUGUGAAGAAGGCCUUGGGUUGUAAAGCACUUUCAGUAGGGAAGGAAGGUAGUGUAGUUAACACCUGCAUUAUUUGACGUUACCUAACAGAAGAAGCACCGGCUAACUCCGUGCCAGCAGCCGCGGUAAUACGGAGGGUGCGAGCGUUAAUCGGAAUUACUGGGCGUAAAGCGCAUGCAGGCGGCCUGUUAAGUCAGAUGUGAAAGCCCGGGGCUUAACCUCGGAAUUGCAUUUGAAACUGGUAGGCUAGAGUCUUGUAGAGGGGGUAGAAUUUCAGGUGUAGCGGUGAAAUAGCGUAGAGAUCUGAAGGAAUACCAGUGGCGAAGGCGGCCCCCUGGACAGAUACUGACACUCAGAUGCGAAAGCGUGGGGAGCAAACAGGAUUAGAUACCCUGGUAG
RNAcentral lists this ribosomal RNA (475 nucleotides) under uncultured bacterium. RNAcentral's name for it is "bacterial SSU rRNA". It matches the Rfam family "Bacterial small subunit ribosomal RNA", at positions 328 to 793 of the family's 1533-position model. The record is from RNAcentral.